RNAcentral lists this ribosomal RNA (253 nucleotides) under uncultured bacterium. RNAcentral describes it as "partial 16S ribosomal RNA". It matches the Rfam family "Bacterial small subunit ribosomal RNA", at positions 524 to 776 of the family's 1533-position model. The record is from RNAcentral.
UACGAAGGGGGCUAGCGUUGCUCGGAAUCACUGGGCGUAAAGCGCACGUAGGCGGCUUUCUAAGUCAGGGGUGAAAUCCUGGAGCUCAACUCCAGAACUGCCUUUGAUACUGGAAAGCUUGAGUUCGGGAGAGGUGAGUGGAACUGCGAGUGUAGAGGUGAAAUUCGUAGAUAUUCGCAAGAACACCCGUGGCGAAGGCGGCUCUCUGGGACGGUACUGACGCUGAGACGCGAAAGCGUGGGGAGCGAACAGG